UACAGAGGUCCCAAGCGCUGUUCGGAUUCAUUGGGCGUAAAGGGUGCGUAGGCGGCGCGGUAAGUCGGGUGUGAAAUCUCGGAGCUUAACUCCGAAACUGCAUUCGAUACUGCCGUGCUUGAGGACUGGAGAGGAGACUGGAAUUUACGGUGUAGCGGUGAAAUGCGUAGAUAUCGUAAGGAAGACCAGUGGCGAAGGCGGGUCUCUGGACAGUUCCUGACGCUGAGGCACGAAGGCCAGGGGAGCAAACGGG
RNAcentral lists this ribosomal RNA (253 nucleotides) under uncultured bacterium. Its description in RNAcentral is "partial 16S ribosomal RNA". It matches the Rfam family "Bacterial small subunit ribosomal RNA", at positions 524 to 776 of the family's 1533-position model. The record is from RNAcentral.